CAUUACAGAGUUCAUGCCCUCACGGGUAGAUCUCCCACCCUUGAAUAUUAUACCUUCGUUGCUUUGGCAGGCCGUGGAGACACCACGGGCUUCGGUACGUGCGUGCCUGCCAGAGGAAACAAACUCUGUUUUUAGUGAUGUCUGAGUACUAUAUAAUAGUUAAAACUUUCAACAACGGAUCUCUUGGUUCUGGCAUCGAUGAAGAACGCAGCGAAAUGCGAUAAGUAAUGUGAAUUGCAGAAUUCAGUGAAUCAUCGAAUCUUUGAACGCACAUUGCGCCCCGUGGUAUUCCGCGGGGCAUGCCUGUUCGAGCGUCAUUUCAACCCAUCAAGCUUUGGCUUGGUCUUGGGGCCUGCGGUUUCGCAGCCUCUAAACUCAGUGGCGGUGCUUCUGAGCUCUGAGCGUAGUAAUUUUUUCUCGCUAUAGGGUCUCGGAGGUUACUUGCCAACAACCCCCAAUUUUUAUCAGGUUGACCUCGGAUCAGGUAGGGAUACCCGCUGAACUUAAGCAUAUCAAUAAGCGGAGGAAAAGAAACCAACAGGGAUUACCUCAGUAACGGCGAGUGAAGCGGUAACAGCUCAAAUUUGAAAUCUGCCGCAAGGCCGAGUUGUAAUUUGUAGAAGAUGCUUUGGGUAUGGCCCCGGUCUAAGUUCGUUGGAACACGACGUCAUAGAGGGUGAGAAUCCCGUAUGUGACUGGGUGCUUUUGCCUAUGUAAAGCUCUUUCGACGAGUCGAGUUGUUUGGGAAUGCAGCUCAAAAUGGGUGGUAUAUUUCAUCUAAAGCUAAAUAUUGGCCAGAGACCGAUAGCGCACAAGUAGAGUGAUCGAAAGAUGAAAAGCACUUUGGAAAGAGAGUUAAACAGUACGUGAAAUUGUUGAAAGGGAAGCGCUUGCAACCAGACUUGCACGCUGUUGAUCAUCCAGGCUUCUGUUUGGUGCACUCAACUGUGUUCAGGCCAGCAUCGGUUUUGGUGGUGGGAUAAAGGCCUUGGGAAUGUAGCUUCUUUCGGGGAGUGUUAUAGCCCUCGGUGCAAUGCCGCCUACCGGGACCGAGGACCGCGCUUCGGCUAGGA
This 1073-nucleotide ribosomal RNA is filed under the name Articulospora tetracladia. RNAcentral describes it as "eukaryotic LSU rRNA". The stretch from base 471 to 1073 matches the Rfam family "Eukaryotic large subunit ribosomal RNA", at positions 1 to 623 of the family's 3401-position model. The record is from RNAcentral. Lineage: Eukaryota; Fungi; Ascomycota; Leotiomycetes; Helotiales; Discinellaceae.